Scylla paramamosain (green mud crab) is the source of this 6059-nucleotide long non-coding RNA. RefSeq lists it as uncharacterized. The transcript is spliced from 5 exons. NCBI's taxonomy places the organism in Eukaryota, Metazoa, Arthropoda, Malacostraca, Decapoda, Portunidae. The record is from RefSeq and is a predicted model, not a curated record.
AGCCUCAGUGCGGCAGUGAUUGUUGUGUGGCGCACGCGUGUCUGAUUCUUUCCUUUCUCGAACACAUCAUAAGAACAGAACUGGUCCGAAGUCUGUUUCCACCGGCGCAAGAGAAUCCCAAGAUUUCUAAUAGUUCAUCAAACGAAUGUAAAAGAUGAAGUGUGAAAACAGUCCCGCUGUGACCGUCCCGCGUUAGGAACCCCGUUCAGACACGAGGCCAUAGUGGCGUAGUCGUGUUGUCGCAGUGGCGUUUCUGCCAUUGUUAUUGGGGAGAGCCUUGCCGUUCAAUUUUGUCCAGAGCUCCACAAAUGAGUCGAGAUGCAGCGUGAGGCAGGACAAGAUACCUGUUCCCUGGCGGCAGCAACAACACCCUUGUCAAGUGUGAACAUUUCCUGCCAUGACACAUCUGAUGGCUUCGUAGCAAGGAAAGUCAGAUGUUUAUACAAAACCAAUACAUUUUUAAACGUGGAAUAAUAUUGUAAAGCUGUACACACUCACGCAGGCAUGGUAAAGAUUGAGUCUUGCCCGCCUCAUGGUGGUGGAUGUUUGGUAGAUGUCUCUGGGUUGAGUCAAUAUGUUUAUCCCAGAAAUCACAAACGUUUUAAAUCUUUCCAGGCCAAUACUAGUGAAUUCUGACAAGCGAAAAAAAAUCCACAUCUACUCCAUGCUCAACUAGUAACCAUGCUGGGUAACAAGGCCUGUUGGUCGUGCGACUCCAUGGCCCCUCUGAUAAAAAGACGUGUCUUCCCUGUUGGGCUCAGCUCACGGUGCGGCUUCAGAAAACAGUGUAAAAAAAAAACAGGUUAUUUUCAGUAGUUAUUUAUCAACCAUGACAUCAUACACCAAAACCAAUCCCCCCAAAAAAAAAGGUUUGUUCACCAGUGACGGGGAUUAUUCCCGAUAGGCAAAUACCAAUGUUCAUCAAAUGAAAAAAAAAUAAAUAAAUAAUUUAGAACUUCUAUUUGUUGUACUAUUUUUAAAUUAGUUAUUGUUUAUAAUUUAUGCAUUCUUUUUUUUUUGUAACAAUUUUCUUUACAUUUAUUCCAGAAUAAUCUUAAAUUUUCCUUUGACUUUUUCGUAUCUGAUUAUUUCAAUGCAAGUACGAAUAAGUUCCACAAACUUAUGGUGGUGGGAAUGCUGACCUGCAUGAUCUUGUCAAUGGCACCAGGAAGGUGAGGAUAACUACUUCAGUGCUGAUCCAUGCAUCAGUUUGUUUACCAUUCAGGGUAUGGCAUAUGCCAUUUUUGGUCUCAUGAAGUAAGAACACACACACACACACACACACAGACAAGAUUAUUAGCUUUUUCCUAACAGGAAACCAAAAUCACAACUCCAUGGCUUGUAUUCUUUACCUAUAACACGGGCUGCCAGUGUGAAAGGCAAGAAACCCAAAUUUGCCUCUGCUCAGCCCAGGAUUCCAGUGGGAGUUGAGCAUGAUGAGCCCAACGCCACAGGAGGAUGACUCAGUAAAUGAAAGAUGCAGUCCCGCAAAGGAUUUGAUGGUGCUCUGCGAUAGAAUUUUACAGUUAUAUGGGACAUGUAAUGAAAAGGAAAGUGACUUGAAGAUGACAUUGCCUGGUUUUAUGGUUAUUGGUGAGACAGGACUACAGAGAAGCCAGAUCUUUUCCUUCCAAGACUGACAGUCAGUUAUCUGCUUCUGGGCUGUUGUGGUUGGCUAUUAAUGGUCUUUGAUUACUCAUACUGGCUUUACUGUAUUCAUAGAUUUUACUUACAUAACAAUGCUUAGUUUAAGUUGUGUUAUUAUGGCCAUUAAGUAACAGGAGGAAUCCUCAACUUAUGUAUGCAAUAUUUCUGACACCUCUUUCAGUAGCCAAAGUCUACACUUAACUUCUUUCCUCCCCUACAAAUGCUCACAGUACAUUUCUCCAAUUUUAUAUAAGAUCAUUCUUUUGCAUCCACAGUACAAAACCGGUUCAUGAAUAUCCUCCUUUCCCACUCACUGUCUUGUCCUGAUGAUCAAGUCAUCACAGGAUGUUAUGACUUCUGUAACUGGUUUUCUCUCAACAAAUAUAAUGGUAUACAGCCUUUACUAGAAGUUCUUUUAAGAUUGUCUUCAUAUAUCACAUUAUAUAUCUGUAACUUACAUUUCUUGCCCACGCCUCAUUUGCAUAAUGUGCAUAUAGUAUAUAAUAGCCAUUUAUGGUUCUCUCUCUCUCUCUCUCUCUCUCUCUCUCUCUCUCUCUCUCUCUCUCUCUCUCUCUCUCUCUCUCUCUCUCUCUCUCUCUCUCUCUCUCUCUCUCUCUCUCUCUCUCUCUCUCUCUCUCUCAUUGUUUUUCCAUUAGUCUGUCCACUUGUCAGCUCCUUGCUCUUUUCGCAUUGUUAUUGAUGUUUUCAGUAGCAUAGUUGAUGGAUGUUGCUGUUGCCCCUAAGAAAAUGCUAAGCUGUUUGGAACAUGUGGAGAAACAACCAUGAAGGAGGAUGCUUGCAGACACUGGUGCUGAGAGUCAGGAACAGGAAUGUUUGCCCACCAUAUCAACUGGAUCACUGAUCUGGUCGCACUGACUGUGUUCUGUUUACAUCUUGAUCUGGAUUUACCCACAUCUGAGAGAUCCAGAUCAUGAUCUGGGUGAUCUAGGUCCAGAGGUGGAUUAUAGCAGACAACACGUAUUGAAGUUACUGGUGGUGGCCAUAUUGGCAGCUGAGCAGUCUCUACUGGGGACUUACAGAAAUACACUGCAUGAAAACAGCUAUGUCUGAGGAACAAAGUGAAAGGUAAUGGAAUGUUGCUGUAGGCACAAAAUGUGUAUAGUAGUGAUAACAAAUACGAGAAACAUAAGUAGACAGUAAACAAUGAAACUCGUGUAGGUUCAGGGUACGAAAAAGAUUUAGGGGUUAUAGUUAGCUCUGAACUCUGUCUAAGAAAGCAAUGCAUAGAGGCUAGAAACUGGGCAAAUAGGGUAUUAGGAUAAGUAGAAGGCCCGAAGUAAUAUUAAAGUUAUAUUUGGCGCUAGUCAGACCUUAUCUAGACUAUGCUGUGCAGUUCUGAUCCCCACAUUACAGGAAGUAGACAGGUCUAUUAAAAUCAGUACAAAGAAGAAUGACUAAAAGGAUACAGGGGAUGAGGAGUAUUCCUUAUGAGGUGAGAUUGAAGUUGUUAAAUUUACAUUCUUUAGAGAGACGUAGGUUAAAGAGGGGACCUGAUAGAAAUCUUUAAGUGGUAUAAGGGUUAUAACAAGGUGGACAUAAGCAAAAUUCUGAGGAUCAGUAACCAGGACAGAACAAGAAAUAACAAGUUCAAGCUUGGAAAAUUUAGGCUUAAAAAAUAGUGGUAGAUGAAUAGAACAGACUCGGUAAUCAAGUUCUUACUGCUAAGACAUUAGGGAGCUUUAAGAGAAGAUUAGACGGAUUUAUGGAUGUGGAUGAUAGGUGGAAAUAGGUAGGUAUAUUUCAUACAGGGACUGCCAUGUGUAAGCCUUGAUGGCUUCUUGCAGCUUGCUUUAUUUCUUAUGUUCUAAACUUUUAUGUACAGUAAAUCCUCCACAGGUUGGCAUAGUAGGAGCCACUCAGCCUUUGUUGACUUGUCAAAAUACCAGUCUAUAUGAAAUAUCACUAAUAUCCCUUGAAAAUCCCUCUCCUGCAGGCUCAAGGUCUUGUUUCAUUCCCUUCCCUCCUUCUAUGUAAAGCAUCCCCUUGCACUUUGAUCUGAGAAUAUGAUGUGGAGGCGAUAUUUCUGGUUGGGAGGUUUAGUCUUUCGGAUGUACCUCCCCUUAUGCAGUUUUCUUUAUGUAAGAGUUUUUUAUGUGGUCUGAUCUGCCAUCCUCUCAAAAGUUUCCUUGUACUUUUUUAAUUUCUUCCAAAAAACUGUAGAAUAUCAAUUUUCUUUUGUGAAUUGAUAGGAAUUUAGGAUGUCAUAAGGUGUAGGACAGGGGUGUCAAACUCAUGGUCUGUAUGCCAAAUGUGGCCCAUGAGGUGACAAGUGAUUUUUCAACUUGAUACUAUAAUUUUUGUUUUUGAGAAAACUACAAAACUUUUAAGGCAAAACAAAAUGAUGUGGUUAUAUAUGCAUUGGCUGGGAGUGAUAUGGGUUUUGUGGCUGGCAGUGAUGUAUAUUGUGAUAUUUUUUUUCUCUCACUUUUUGUACAUAUAGCUAUCUCAUAUGGGUUGUUAUGUGGCUUGGUGUGAUGUGCUGUUUGAUGUGGUUAUGUGUGAUACAACUGAGAUAAGGGCUGGUGUGUGGAUAUUGUGACAGGUGGUAUGUGGCUGGGUGUUAUGUUUAGUGUGAUGUGGAGGUUGAGAUGUGGGUUAUAAAGUGUGAUGCUGUUUGUGGUGCGGUUUUGUGUGUGACUGAGUGUGUGAUAUGGGUUGUUGUGUUGUUUGAGCUCCUGGCAGAGGUUCAAGCCUGGAACUCCAGGGAACAUGCCGUGCAGCUGGUGUCCUCCCUGAAGGGUACAGUGCUAGAAGUGCUGAUCCAGGUAAAGCUGCUGCAAAGCAUCUCUUACGACUGUGUGGUGGCAGCCUUGGAGCAGAGGUAAAGAUAGACACAAGCACCAGGCUGAGGCAUUCUGGGCCAGGUUGCAAAACAGGAUGAGGGGGCAAGGAGAGCCUCUACAGCAGCUGCCCCAUGAGCUGGAACACUUGGUUAGAAGGGCAUAUCCAGACACACUGGAGAUGGUGACAUCAUUAUUCCUAAGGAACCAGUCCAUUGACACCACUGGAGAUUCAUCACAACUCAAAGUAUAUAUGUUAAGCAGUCCCAUGCUACCAGCGUGCAGGAGGCGCUGACUCGGGCUCUUGAGCUAAAGUCAUUUGUGGCAUUCAGUGGUACCAUGCAAGAAGUAGACAGAAGGCAACAAUUCCGAGCCAGAAAGGACAACAUCUGGGAGCAGUCUUCAGAUAGUGGCUCAGGUGGAUUUAUGAGCAUCUGCUGGAAGUGUGAGUGGCAAAGACACAUCAAGAGGGACUGCCUUAAACUGUACCAGUCACAGUCUUAGUUGCAAAGGAGGCCGUUUGAGUUCCAGCUUUGCUGCUGGGGCUGUGGCCAACUAAGGCACUAUGCCAACUCAUGCCUGCAGCCCAAGCCAAUGCACACACCAUCUUUGCCAGGAAAGUACAGUGGAAUGGGAACUAGGGCUUCUCAGCCAGAGACUCCAAGGCCCCACUCUUGUUAAGCUGCCAGUCCGUGGCCCUGCAAUCAGUGCAAGUUGAGGGUACUGUCAAUGGUGAGUCACACUUCCUUGCUCUGGAUUUAGGGACAGAGAGGACAACACAGAGGCUGUGGCAUGACUGUCCACUGCAUGGAGUUGCAGGGUAGAUCCACAGAAGACAGUCGGGAAAUGGCUGACGCCAAAGACGGCGAAGAUGAGCUUCCUGGGCUUCUGUACAUACUACAGGAAGUUUGUCCAGGAUUUUCCCAUCAUUGUUGCCUCCUCUUCAUCAGCUGACACACAAGGGUGCAUUGUUCUGCUAGGACAACUUGUGCCAGGCAACCACUGACCAACUGAAAGGGGCCCUGGUAGAGGCACCUUUCCUUCAGGCAAUCGUAUAUAUACGAUUGCAUCAAUGUAUCCGUAGCGUCGGCGAUCAUACCCGUAAUCAAGAAUUUUCGCGCCUCAAUUUUGAGCUCCAAGCGCAAUUUCUCGAGUCAGAUGGUGUGAGUGGAAAAGUCUGGCAUGUUUCCACAUGUAGUGUUGUCACUAGCUCUGGAAAUUUAGCGGUAACUAAGCUAUUUUCCCUUUCUCCGGGGCAACACUUGGCAACCCCAACGACCCGCCGGGUGGAAAGCAUCUGCCGGGUAGAAAGCACCAUGGUAAGUGUGAAGAGACAUCCUGAUAAGAGCAAAGGAUCUCAGAUCAUAAUUCACCAUGGAGCAGGACAGAACAUAUGUAUUUAGCAGUGCUUCUGAGUUGGAAGACAGUGACAGAGAAUAUUUAGAAGAAGAAACUGAAGAAAGCGAAGACAUUAGUGAGGACUCGGAAAAUGAUUUACAGGAUCCACCUGUUUUAUCAGAACAGAGAGAUGAUACCUCAGAUCCACCUGUUUUAUCAGAACAGAGAGAUGAUACCUAUCAUUCUUUCAUUAUCUUCGAUUUUAUAAUAAAA